GCGUGACCACAGUGCACACGUCUGCUGUUGCUCACAGUGGUCCAAGGGACGCUCAGGGAGUUUGUGUGUUCGCUCAGACACAUGAAAAAUUAGAGGGAACUUUGGACCUCACCAUUCCAGUUCCAGAAAAUAGCAAUUUAGAAGUUGUGACACUGCUGCCUGAAAAGUAUGUUAUCACAAUUCUGUUAUGGAAUUCAUUCUAUCCAAUGAAUCCCGUGUAUGAAAAAAAUUCUAUAUAGAUCAAAUUUGUAUGUUUAAAAACAGAUAGGGCUGAGAAUUUCAUUAAACAUGAAAUUACAUAUCACGUUUUCUACAUGUUAGGAUACCUGGGUCCCAGUGGUUAUGGUUUUGAUUUAUCUAUAAUCUUUGAUUUAGUGUUUCUGUUAUUUACAUUUGGAAUUUCAAGCUCCCCUAUAUAUUUAGUAUUUCUGAUGUGUAGUUCUUAGUUUUGUUACAGUGCCUUCCCUGUGUUCUUGUGUCUCUUUGUCUCAGUUAUGUUUUCAUGUCUGUUCUUUCCCCGUCUCGUCUGUGUGAUUAGCGCCACCUGUGUUUCCUCUUUGCCCUGUUCCCCUCUUGUAUUUAGUAUCUGUCUUUUCCUCUGCUCAUCGUUGUCCUCGUCCUCCCUCAUUCCCCGCUGUGUGUCCUACCAAAAACAUAUGAUUUUGUUAUAAAAUUUCAGCUCUCACGUGGAAGGCUGAGACUUCCAAAUGGCUGAUUCAGACACUGGCUACACCUGGAAUUUUUUUGUUUGCACGGGAAAGAGUGAGGUCAGCACAACAUAUGGACUAAGCUACUCAGCUGUUAUGGAUCUUUUACCUCUGUUGUUGCUUGGUCAGGGCUACAUUUUGUAUGUGGACAACACACAAGCUCUACACAAGCUCUUUUUUGGUGAGCUAUACCAAAAAAAUAAAUAAAUAAAUUGGCUGUUGUGGCACAAUUAGAAUUUAAUUUAUUUUGAUUUAGAAUGAGGGACAAUACAUAUUAAUGAACAUUUUAACAAAUGUAAAGAAAAAAACUGACUGGCUUUCCGCACACAAGCAAAAAUGACUUUCCUAAGAAGGCAGAGAGGGGAGAUGUGCGCUGGAUAAGGAAAGACGAACUGCUGUUUGGGAAGUGGACUGACACACGAGAGGUCACAAUGUGCUCCACGGUGCACAAGGCCAGAAAGACUGUGCAGCGAAAAGUGAAGGGAGCUGCAGGUUGGACAACAAAGGCUGUACCUGUUCCGGAUUGUGUUGUGAACUACAACAAGAACAUGGGUGGUGUUGAUUUGUCCGAUCCUCUGAUUGGUUAUUACACUGUCCUCCAUAAAACUAUGAAAUGGUAUAAAACUUUUUUUUUUUUAUCAUUUCUUAGACAUUGCUGUCGUUAACAGUUUUUUUUUUUGCAUAUGGAGUUAUGCAAGAGCUAGGGUAAGGAGACAAUGACACAAAAAAGUUCCAGGAGCACGUUGCCAAGGAGAUGCUUGACUUUGCUGUUACCUCAGCAUCACCACCACCAACACAAAUGCCUAAACCCAACUGCAUGCCACGUUAUUUGGCAGCAAUGCAACAGUUUCAAGGAGAUAUUGCAGGACGUACCAGGAUGCUGGCAUCCCGAGUGUGAAAACCCCAAUUUCUUGUAGGGCUUUAUUUCUUUGUUCAUGUAAACGGUCAUCCAAUAAUAUUUAAUAUUCAAGUAUGGUGAGCAACCAUUAACAAUUUAGAGGUAUCAAAGCCGUGUGCUUAACUUCUCCAACUCUACAGACCUAUUCAUGACAGAGAACUGCUCCAAAAAUGACCCCCUAGUUACGUUAGACUCACUUGGAAAUGAAAUAAAUUAUUUUUAAUAAUUUGCAUACACACCCAGAGACACAGAGGCUUGGAAGGACCUUUGAUGAUAAUGUCGUAAGGCCAGGGAACUCAUCAUUGUAAAAAACAAGUUUAUGUUAUGGUUCUGAGUCUGAGGACUCAGUGUUUUGUUUUAAUUAAUAUUAUCUUAUGUUUCGGUUUAAUUCUGGUUAUGUCUUCUGCUAGGAUUUUUAGUUCUUAGGUUUUGGUUCCCGUGCUCCCUCUGUUCUGCAUCUAGUCUGUGUCUCUGUGCCUGUCGUGUGCUUCGUGUUUUAUUUUGACAGUGCCUGCUCUGCAUUCAGUCCUGAAGUUUGUUUUUGACCUAGUCUUUGACGAGAACGCUACACAAGUUGACAUUUUUGGAACACCAUAUUGGAGAAGAACAUGGAUACUGAUUCGUUUGAAAACGUGAAUCAGUCCCUGGAGGCUGACUCACCUCCAGAUCCUCCAAGUACCAAAUUUGAACUCUCCUUGGAGAAGGGUCUUACGGCACAGUUGCAAAAUGUGUCAGAAUGGCUGACAAAAAGACUGUAGCUAUUAAAAUAAUAAAACAUCAGAACCCAAAAGACCUGUUGGAAAACCAAGAGCUCACUGCCCUGUGAAAACUUAACACCUGUAACUCCAACAGACACACUAUACUUGAUUGGUACCAAGCUUUUGCAGACAGUUUCAAGGCAGUUCGUCCCAUUGUCAUGCAGAUUGCAACUGCUCUUAGUCACCUCAAGUCUAUUGGAACAGCACACGCAGACUUGAAAUUAGAAAACGAAAUGUUGGUGAAACAUCACCAAGAGCCGUACCGAAUUAAAGUAAUUGACUUUGGCCUGGCCUGUGACAACUCAGCUGCUAAAGUGGGCUCUUACAUUCAGACCCAUCCGUACCGGCAAGUAGCUGGAAUCAAAUUUAAUCUCUUCCUCGCAAUAUGACACAAAAUCCAGUGUUUGUGCUUUCUGUUAUGUGUUUGUCAGCUGUAGUACAAAUCAUACUUAUCCAAAUGGUCAAUAAUAAGAAAAAAUGUAACAAUCAUUUCUCUUUGUCAUCCACCAGGUCUCCGGAGAUUAUUCCAGGGCUUCCGUUUACAGAAGCCAUAGACGUAUGGUCUCUGGGCUGAAUGGCACUGGUUUCUUGCUGUACCCUGGAUACAGUGAAUAAGUAAAACAAUAUGACUAAAUGCUGCUUUGUAUUUCUUCUGAAGAACUUGAUUUCAAGCUUUAUUGAAAUGACUGACAACAAACUUUUAGUGUUAAUCCCUGUGAUGGCAUCAGACAUGUCUUCCAACAAUUCCCAGGACAAGUUAGUCCCUAGAGGCUGAUUCACCUCCAGAUCCUCCAAGUACCAGAUUUGAACUCUCCUUGGAGAAGGGUCUUAUGGCACAGUUGCAAAAUGUGUCAGAAUGGCUGACAAAAUUUCAAGCUUUAUUGAAAUGAUUGACAACAAUUGUAUGUCACUUAAAAGUCUGUGUUUGACUCCCAGUUUGAUUAAAUAUUCUGCUGUCCUCUCAGCUGAGAUACAUUAUCGACACCCAAGGACAACCCCCAAAGAAAAUGUUAGACUCUGGGCAAAAGAGUGUCCAGUUUUUCUGCAGAGAGUUAAAUUCCUGUCGCAAAUACCACUGGAAUCUCACGGUACCACUUCACCACUGCUCUGGUUAAUCCUGUAUACCAGUCUUUAAACUUAUUAGCAUAUUUCUUAUUUUCUAACCUUUGAUUUUUAAUAUGUUGUAAAACAUAAAUCUUGUUUCUGAUUUGGCCAGAGCCAAAUAUGAAUAUCUCUGUUAACACCUUCAAUGACAGUCGGGGUGAGGACCACCGCUGCAGAAAAGCAAGAGGACAAGCAGAGUAACACGUGAUUUUUUUAACGUGACACGAGUGCCUCACUUCACCAAAUUUAUAACUUUUGGCUAAUGAAAAUGAUACACUGUUAAAAUUCAUAUCUGCAGUAAUGAGGUCAGUAAAGCUAAUACUGAAUCAGUGUGUUAUGUCACUAACACUGUCACAGUCUAAUCAUUCCCUUCCCUCCCCCCAACUGGUUGCAGUAGAUGGCUGCCCCUGUAAAGGGUAGCUUUUCCUUUCCAAUGUCGCAAAAUGCUUGCGCAGGGGGUCACUUGAUUGUUGGGGGUUUAGUGCCUUCAGCUGACUUUUGUUGUGAAUUGGCAUUUUUAUUGAAUAUUUUUUCCUGUACUGAUAGGCAUAGAAUGGCACAGCAUAUAUUCAUCGGAUUUCUGGAAGUAUAAUUUUCACUAGUUACUUAGAAAUGAUAACAUCAGAACCCAUUUCAAAAAAUUCCCCAACAACUUUACACUAAAUGCCCUUCUUGACACAAGCCUCAAAUUUCGAGCUCUAAAGUAUGGCAGUGUGAAGUUUGUUUGGGUGUUUGGAUUUCACAAGGAAACGGGCAGAUCUAAAGAAAUUUUCUUUAGGUGGCAUAAGGGUGGUAAUUAAAAUCAAAUGGGGUGGCAAAGCCAUGUUUUUACACGCUGGUAUUACGUCCUGCAAUAGGCAUUAUAUGUGGUUAAAAAACACCAAAUGCAGUAAGUAUACACAUUUCAAAUAAAUAUAGUCUAUAACUUUAUGUCAUUUAGCCCAGAUAGUUAAACAUUUCAGUUACAUAAAAGAUAUGAAUUUUGAUUUUAUGUACUGUACAGCCUAGAUAAUAAAUAAGUGUGUAGCCCAAUUAACAUAAAAUCCAGAAAGCUACACAAAAUGGGGGAAUUCAUUUGGUUCAAACCCAAGAAGUUUCACACUCGUUUUAUUAGAAAUAAUUAAAUUGUUACACUGAAAUCACACAAAAACAUAAAAACUGAGCUUAAAAACAGCAACAAGCUGCUAGCAUCUUAAACCGGUCACGUGAUUUGGAGGUGUGGUGUGUCCAUUGACCACAGAGGGCUAAUAACACUUGUGUUGAAAUAUAAAAAUGCCCAUGGUAUUGAUUCAGAAUGUGGUCUGGCACAAUUAAGGGGGGGGGGGGCUUUAAAAGGUUGAAAAUCAAAAAAUAUACACACUAGUUGAUGUUUAUGGUUCAACCGGCUGAAAUUGUUGUAAGAGACACUCAUUUAAAGUAAAAAAAAAUUAUUGCUAUAUUUUUACAGUACUUUUGUUUUAAAUUUGACAGUUUUGUAGAAACUACUAUCUUUUGGUCCUUAGGAUCACGAAUGCCAGUUUUAUUUUAAAUUUGACGUAACAGAAAAAAUAAAAAUGCAUUGAAAAUCAAUGUUGCUGCCAAUCUUUAACCCAUCUUAGGGUCUAAUAAAACAAUAAUCAUAUACUUUACUAUACUAAUAGUAGUAGUUUACAAAUUUUAAUGACAUUUUUGGGAGUUUUUUUUUUUUUGAGUAAAAAAAACAAACCCUAGGCCUUUAAAGGGUUAAAACCCCCAAACUAUAAAUACUAUUUGAUAUUUAUAGUUCAAGCUGAAAGGGCUUUAAAGACUGAGUCAUUUAAAUUGGAAAAAAAUAGUACGAUAUAAUACUUUUAUAGCAGUUUUGUGGAAACUACCAUUUAUUGGUCAACAGGAUCAUGAAUGCCAGUUUUAUUUUAAAUUUGACAUAACACAAAAAAUAAAAAUGCAUAAAAAUCAAUGUUACUGCCAAUCCUUGACCCAUCUCAGGAUCUAAUAAAAUAAUAAUCAUAUAUAUUAUUAUCCUAAUAGUAGUAGUUUACAAAUUUUAAUGACAUUAUUUGGGAGUUGUUUAAAAAAAAAAGAA
Long non-coding RNA from Haplochromis burtoni (Burton's mouthbrooder), 5529 nucleotides. RefSeq lists it as uncharacterized. The record is from RefSeq and is a predicted model, not a curated record. Lineage: Eukaryota; Metazoa; Chordata; Actinopteri; Cichliformes; Cichlidae. The transcript has 3 exons.